UACGGAGGGUGCAAGCGUUAUCCGGAUUCACUGGGUUUAAAGGGUGCGUAGGCGGACAGGUAAGUCAGUGGUGAAAUCUCCAAGCUUAACUUGGAAACUGCCGUUGAUACUAUCAUUCUUGAAUAUCGUGGAGGUAAGCGGAAUAUGUCAUGUAGCGGUGAAAUGCUUAGAUAUGACAUAGAACACCAAUUGUGUAGGCAGCUUACUACACGAUCAUUGACGCUGAGGCACGAAAGCGUGGGGAGCAAACAGG
RNAcentral lists this ribosomal RNA (253 nucleotides) under uncultured bacterium. RNAcentral's name for it is "partial 16S ribosomal RNA". It matches the Rfam family "Bacterial small subunit ribosomal RNA", at positions 524 to 776 of the family's 1533-position model. The record is from RNAcentral.